GGUAACCUGCGGAAGGAUCAUU
RNAcentral lists this ribosomal RNA (22 nucleotides) under Drepanocladus sordidus. RNAcentral describes it as "partial 18S ribosomal RNA". Lineage: Eukaryota; Viridiplantae; Streptophyta; Bryopsida; Hypnales; Amblystegiaceae. The record is from RNAcentral.